This is a non-coding RNA of Caenorhabditis elegans, 142 nucleotides long. NCBI's taxonomy places the organism in Eukaryota, Metazoa, Nematoda, Chromadorea, Rhabditida, Rhabditidae. The record is from Ensembl.
GGUGGUUUCCUGCGUUGCGGCGUCGAAUUACUUGUGCCCUCACCAGAACAUCAUAAUCUUAGACCCCCAAUUGAUAAAGAUGAUAGAAUCUUUUUGACCUCCUACCGCUACUCUUAUCCCACCUACACGCCGAUAAGAUCCU